GACGAACGCUGGCGGCGUGCUUAACACAUGCAAGUCGAACGGAAAGGCCCUGCUUUUGUGGGGUGCUCGAGUGGCGAACGGGUGAGUAACACGUGAGUAACCUGCCCUUUACUUUGGGAUAACUUCAGGAAACUGGGGCUAAUACCGGAUAGGAGCUCCUGCUGCAUGGUGGGGGUUGGAAAGUUUCGGCGGUUGGGGAUGGUCUCGCUGCUUAUCAGCUUGUUUGUGGGGUAGUGGCUUACCAAGGCUUUGACGGGUAGCCGGCCUGAGAGGGUGACCGGCCACAUUGGGACUGAGAUACGGCCCAGACUCAUACGGGAGGCAGCAGUGGGGAAUAUUGCACAAUGGGCGGAAGCCUGAUGCAGCAACGCCGCGUGCGGGAUGACGGCCUUCGGGUUGUAAACCGCUUUCGCCUGUGACGAAGCGUGAGUGACGGUAAUGGGUAAAGAAGCACCGGCUAACUACGUG
This 468-nucleotide ribosomal RNA is filed under the name uncultured bacterium. RNAcentral's name for it is "partial 16S ribosomal RNA". It matches the Rfam family "Bacterial small subunit ribosomal RNA", at positions 28 to 507 of the family's 1533-position model. The record is from RNAcentral.